CACUACAGGCCAAAGAUAUUCAUCAGUUGGUCAUGUUCAUCUAAACACCUGUUCAUCUUUGCACUACGGGCCAAAGAUAUUCAUCAGAAAUCAUUCAUCUUUGCACUACAGGCCAAAGAUAUUCAAUAAUAUCAUCAUUUAAGACUGAGGAUGAUGAAAAAUAUUUUUAAAGAAACAAAUCCAGUGAAACAAAAUGACAAGGAUUAAGGAUUAAGGAUUCGUACUUUGUUUUAUCCAUGUCCAAAAAUA
Molecule: long non-coding RNA, 249 nt
Filed under: Panax ginseng (ginseng)
Lineage: Eukaryota; Viridiplantae; Streptophyta; Magnoliopsida; Apiales; Araliaceae
Description: long non-coding RNA (PGIN_LNC003100)
Source: RNAcentral